CUGGUAACAGCAGGGGCACAUGUAAACCCCAUCCGAAGCAAGACCGGAUAGAAACUAUGUGGCUGCCCGUCACGUUUCAGGUAGGUCGCUCGAGCACAGCGGCGACGCUGUGCCUAGACAGAUGAUCGUCCGACGACAUAACCCGGCUUAUCGUCUUGCUUGGCAC
Molecule: RNase P RNA, 166 nt
Filed under: Candidatus Mediterraneibacter pullistercoris
Lineage: Bacteria; Bacillati; Bacillota; Clostridia; Lachnospirales; Lachnospiraceae
Description: partial RNase P RNA component class A
Rfam family: Bacterial RNase P class A
About the family: Ribonuclease P (RNase P) is a ubiquitous endoribonuclease, found in archaea, bacteria and eukarya as well as chloroplasts and mitochondria. Its best characterised activity is the generation of mature 5'-ends of tRNAs by cleaving the 5'-leader elements of precursor-tRNAs.
Source: RNAcentral